UAAGCGGAGGAAAAGAAACUAACAAGGAUUCCCCCAGUAACGGCGAGUGAAGCGGGAAGAGCUCAAGCUUAAAAUCUCCAUGUGUAAGCAUGGCGAAUUGUAGUCUAUAGAGGCUGUUGUCAGCACAGCGAUCUGGGAAAAGUCCCUUGGAAAAGGGCAGCACAGAGGGUGAUACUCCCGUCUUUGCUCAGAUCGUCUUGUGUGUACGAUACGCUUUCUUUGAGUCGAGUUGUUUGGGAAUACAGCUCAAAGUAGGUGGUAAAUUCCAUCUAAAGCUAAAUAUUGGUGCGAGACCGAUAGCGAACAAGUACCGUGAGGGAAAGAUGAAAAGAACUUUGAAAAGAGAGUUAAAGAGUACCUGAAACUGUUGAAAGGGAACCGUAUCGUUUCCAGUGUUAUAUCCUGUGCAUAUUUCAUUAGCGGAGCAAUUUGCUGGUGCCCUGUGCAUGGGUGUGACGUCAGAGUCAGUUUGUAUGCUGCGGGAGAUGGUCAGUGAGGAGGUGCUUCACUUCGGUGAAAGUUAUAUCUUGCUGUCUAGUAGCCGUGGUUGAGACUGAGGUGCCUACAACAUGCCUUGGGGUUCGGGGCUGUCUUGUUUUGGAAACUGCUUGGAUAGCUUGCUAUGUCUGUGGUUUUUCAGAGCAAUUGAUGGUGUCGAUAAC
RNAcentral lists this ribosomal RNA (662 nucleotides) under Protoachlya paradoxa. RNAcentral describes it as "eukaryotic LSU rRNA". It matches the Rfam family "Eukaryotic large subunit ribosomal RNA", at positions 47 to 634 of the family's 3401-position model. The record is from RNAcentral. Lineage: Eukaryota; Oomycota; Saprolegniomycetes; Saprolegniales; Saprolegniaceae.